Molecule: ribosomal RNA, 253 nt
Filed under: uncultured bacterium
Lineage: Bacteria
Description: partial 16S ribosomal RNA
Rfam family: Bacterial small subunit ribosomal RNA
Source: RNAcentral
UACAGAGGUCCUAAGCGUUGUUCGGAUUCACUGGGCGUAAAGGGUGCGUAGGUGGCCGAGUAAGUCUGACGUGAAAUCUCCAAGCUCAACUUGGAAACUGCGUCGGAUACUAUCCGGCUAGAGGAUCGGAGGGGAGACUGGAAUACUUGGUGUAGCAGUGAAAUGCGUAGAUAUCAAGUGGAACACCAGUGGCGAAGGCGAGUCUCUGGACGAUUCCUGACACUGAGGCACGAAAGCCAGGGGAGCAAACGGG